AUACGGAGGAUGCAAGCGUUAUCCGGAUUUAUUGGGUUUAAAGGGUGCGUAGGCGGUUUGCUAAGCGGGAGGUGAAAUGCCGGCGCUCAACGUCGGAAGUGCCUCCCGAACUGGUGGACUGGAAUGACUCUGCCGUGGGAGGAAUGUGUAGUGUAGCGGUGAAAUGCUUAGAGAUUACACAGAACACCGAUUGCGAAGGCAUCUCACGAAGGGUUGAUUGACGCUGAGGCACGAAAGCGUGGGGAUCAAACAGGAUUAGAUACCCUGGUAGUCCACGCAGUAAACGAUGAUGGCUAACCGCUGGUUUUUUCGGAUCAGUGGCCAAGCGAAAGCGAUAAGCCAUCCACCUGGGGAGUACGACCGCAAGGUUGAAACUCAAAGGAAUUGGCGGGG
RNAcentral lists this ribosomal RNA (393 nucleotides) under uncultured bacterium. Its description in RNAcentral is "partial 16S ribosomal RNA". It matches the Rfam family "Bacterial small subunit ribosomal RNA", at positions 523 to 918 of the family's 1533-position model. The record is from RNAcentral.